This 372-nucleotide ribosomal RNA is filed under the name uncultured organism. Its description in RNAcentral is "bacterial SSU rRNA". It matches the Rfam family "Bacterial small subunit ribosomal RNA", at positions 526 to 896 of the family's 1533-position model. The record is from RNAcentral.
CGUAGGGGGCAAGCGUUGUCCGGAUUUAUUGGGCGUAAAGAGCGUGUAGGCGGUUACACAGGUCCGCUGUGAAAACUGGAGGCUUAACCUCCAGACGUCGGUGGAAACCGUGUAACUAGAGUCCGGAAGAGGAGAGUGGAAUUCCUGGUGUAGCGGUGAAAUGCGCAGAUAUCAGGAAGAACACCCGUGGCGAAGGCGGCUCUCUGGGACGGUACUGACGCUGAGACGCGAAAGCGUGGGGAGCGAACAGGAUUAGAUACCCUGGUAGUCCACGCCGUAAACGAUGGGUGCUAGGUGUGGGGGGUGUCGACUCCCUCCGUGCCGCAGCUAACGCAUUAAGCACCCCGCCUGGGGAGUACGGCCGCAAGGCUA